GACGAACGCUGGCGGCGUGCUUAACACAUGCAAGUCGAACGGUGAAGCGCCUUCCUUUUUGGUGGGUGUGGAUGAGUGGCGAACGGGUGAGUAACACGUGAGUAACCUGCCCCCUUCUUCUGGAUAACCGCAUGAAAGUGUGGCUAAUACGGGAUAUUCUGGGUCUGUCGCAUGAUGGGUCUGGGAAAGAUAUUGUUUCGGUGGGGGAUGGGCUCGCGGCCUAUCAGCUUGUUGGUGGGGUGAUGGCCUACCGAGGCGGUGACGGGUAGCCGGCCUGGGAGGGUGGACGGUCUCAUCGGGACUGAGACUCGGCCCAGCCUCCUACGGGAGGCAGCCGUGGGGAAUACUGCACAAUGGGCGCAAGCCUGAUGCAGCGACGCCGCGUGAGGGAUGGAGGCCUUCGGGUUGUGAACCUCUUUCGCCAGUGAAGCAGGCCUGCCUCGUUUGUGGGUGGGUUGACGGUAGCUGGAUAAGAAGCGCCGGCUAACUACGUG
RNAcentral lists this ribosomal RNA (494 nucleotides) under uncultured bacterium. Its description in RNAcentral is "partial 16S ribosomal RNA". It matches the Rfam family "Bacterial small subunit ribosomal RNA", at positions 28 to 507 of the family's 1533-position model. The record is from RNAcentral.